CGGACUAAUUCGAAGUCAGAUCCAAGCAAAUCUAAAGCUAGAUCUAGAUCAAUCUAAAGUCAGAUCUAAGUCAAUUUGAAGUCUAAAUCUGAAUCAAUCUAAAAUUAGAUCCAGACCAAUUCGAAGCCAGAUGUAGGCUAAUCCAAAGUCAAAAUCAAGAUCAAUCCGAAGUCAAAAUCAGACCAAUUCAAAGCAAAAAUAAGGCAAAAUCGAAGCAAAAAUAAGGUCAAGCUGA
This 235-nucleotide long non-coding RNA is filed under the name Elaeis guineensis (African oil palm). RNAcentral describes it as "long non-coding RNA (EGUI_LNC009190)". Lineage: Eukaryota; Viridiplantae; Streptophyta; Magnoliopsida; Arecales; Arecaceae. The record is from RNAcentral.